UCCGUAGGCGGGCAAUUAAGUCAGAGGUGAAAUCCCACAGCUCAACUGUGGAACUGCCUUUGAUACUGGUUGUCUUGAGUUACAGUGAAGUAGAUAGAAUAUGUAGUGUAGCGGUGAAAUGCAUAGAUAUUACAUAGAAUACCGAUUGCGAAGGCAGUCUACUAACUGUAUACUGACGCUAAUGGACGAAAGCGUGGGGAGCGAACAGGAUUAGAUACCCUGGUAGUC
Molecule: ribosomal RNA, 228 nt
Filed under: uncultured bacterium
Lineage: Bacteria
Description: partial 16S ribosomal RNA
Rfam family: Bacterial small subunit ribosomal RNA
Source: RNAcentral